GAGGUAACUCUGUGUAUAUCUUCUUUUUAGAAUAUCAUCGAACGAAUAUUACAAUUACACUGACAGCGCUGAGAGAUGCGUCGCCACCGGAGUUAGAGAAAAAUCAAUACGGCAAUAAUUCUCCGGAAUUUCAUUAUUGGUCGUCGUCGUUUCUAUAAAAAUAAAGAUUGUAAUUGGACCAGUGGGUAUAAGUGGUCAACAGCCUUUAUAUUAAGAAGAUCUACUAACCACAGAAGAUGAAAAACCCGAAACUUAUAAAAGAAUUUGACAGUCGUAUACCAAAAGGCCAUGGCAAGUUUCGACCGGAUUUACAUGAUCCAUGGUUACGUGAUGUAAUAGUUAUUGGCGAGAAAAUAUUCAUAACCGAUUUUGGAAAUAUGGCUGUGAAUGUUUAUGAUAUGGACGGAGUGCCUAUAGCACAGAAAAGAUUAGACGGACCUCCAAAUAGUAUCACGCAAGUGAAAGCGGAUACUAUUGCUGUUACUAUUCCGUUCGAUGACGACCCAGCCGUAAUGCUUCUGGAUAUAACCGACCUUAAACUCACGCUACAGACCUGCCUGCAGACUGAGUAUACGUACAGGGGAAUUGCUAAACUUGAUGAUUCAUCUAUGGUUGUUAGUACCGCUUGGUGGAAUGGGCUCGGCCAGGCUUUCAUAAUAUCGCACGACGGAACAGUUGUCAAGUCGUACGGUCAUCCGACGGAGGGAGAAAAGAAAGCGUUGACGCAAUGCGCCACGUUUCUGUGUUGUUCGC
This is a long non-coding RNA of Patella vulgata (common limpet), 753 nucleotides long. RefSeq lists it as uncharacterized. The record is from RefSeq and is a predicted model, not a curated record. The transcript is spliced from 3 exons. NCBI's taxonomy places the organism in Eukaryota, Metazoa, Mollusca, Gastropoda, Patellidae.